GACGGGAAAUCUGAAAAAAUUUUGCAAAAUUUUCUGGGAACUAAACAAGGCCACAGGAGGUGGGGGCACUCAGAAGGCGUCGCUAGAGCCCAGUUGAAGGGGAGUGGCGUCACGGAGCUGGAGGUGGCCGGGUACGGGAGGAAGAAGAUGAGGGAAGAUGGAACCGUGCGCGCGAGGCGAGGAAGAAGAUAAAAGGGAAACGAAAACCUAUCCUUCUUUGAUCUAUUUUAUGCAGGAAAACAAAAGGGCUGCCCUUAUAUAGUUAUAUAUCUAUGUACUAGUAACAAACAAAGGGCAGUUAAUACACGCACAAAAUAGACCAAACGUGCUAAAUCGACUACUAGAACUCUAGAAGAAUAACGAGGGCAUGAUCAAAUAUUGCGUCUUAUACACAGCGGAAGAAUUUCGUGCCGGUCCAAAACAGAGGACUCGUGCCGCAGAGUUCGCACUGUGACACUUCCUCUUUUUCCAACGUUUGCUGAACUGAGAAGGGCA
Long non-coding RNA from Sorghum bicolor (sorghum), 495 nucleotides. RefSeq lists it as uncharacterized. The transcript has 2 exons. The record is from RefSeq and is a predicted model, not a curated record. NCBI's taxonomy places the organism in Eukaryota, Viridiplantae, Streptophyta, Magnoliopsida, Poales, Poaceae.